RNAcentral lists this ribosomal RNA (387 nucleotides) under uncultured bacterium. RNAcentral describes it as "bacterial SSU rRNA". It matches the Rfam family "Bacterial small subunit ribosomal RNA", at positions 28 to 415 of the family's 1533-position model. The record is from RNAcentral.
GACGAACGCUGGCGGCGUGCUUAACACAUGCAAGUCGAGCGGUAAGGCCCUUUCGGGGGUACACGAGCGGCGAACGGGUGAGUAACACGUGGGUGACCUGCCCUCAGCUCUGGGAUAAGCCUGGGAAACCGGGUCUAAUACUGGAUAUGACUCCAUGACGCAUGUUGUGGGGUGGAAAGCCUUGUGCGGCUGAGGAUGGGCCCGCGGCCUAUCAGCUUGUUGGUGGGGUGANGGCCUACCAAGGCGACGACGGGUAGCCGGCCUGAGAGGGCGACCGGCCACACUGGGACUGAGACACGGCCCAGACUCCUACGGGAGGCAGCAGUGGGGAAUCUUGCGCAAUGGGCGAAAAGCCUGACGCAGCGACGCCGCGUGAGGGAUGACGCC